RNAcentral lists this ribosomal RNA (253 nucleotides) under uncultured bacterium. Its description in RNAcentral is "partial 16S ribosomal RNA". It matches the Rfam family "Bacterial small subunit ribosomal RNA", at positions 524 to 776 of the family's 1533-position model. The record is from RNAcentral.
UACGUGGGGGGCAAGCGUUGUUCGGAAUUACUGGGCGUAAAGGGCUCGUAGGCGGCCAACUAAGUCGGAUGUGAAAUCCCCAGGCUUAACCUGGGAAUUGCAUCCGAUACUGGAUGGCUUGAGUUUGGGAGAGGGAUGCGGAAUUCCAGGUGUAGCGGUGAAAUGCGUAGAUAUCUGGAGGAACACCGGUGGCGAAGGCGGCAUCCUGGACCAACACUGACGCUGAGGAGCGAAAGCCAGGGGAGCAAACGGG